ACUGGGAAGAGGAGCUGAGGUGCUGUGAAGAAAGCUCCUCACGUCUUCUCUCCCUUCC
Molecule: microRNA precursor, 58 nt
Filed under: Pteropus alecto (black flying fox)
Lineage: Eukaryota; Metazoa; Chordata; Mammalia; Chiroptera; Pteropodidae
Description: microRNA pal-mir-4646 precursor
Source: miRBase by way of RNAcentral